RNAcentral lists this ribosomal RNA (253 nucleotides) under uncultured bacterium. Its description in RNAcentral is "partial 16S ribosomal RNA". It matches the Rfam family "Bacterial small subunit ribosomal RNA", at positions 524 to 776 of the family's 1533-position model. The record is from RNAcentral.
UACGUAGGGUGCAAGCGUUGUUCGGAAUUAUUGGGCGUAAAGAGUAUGUAGGCGGCUAGAUAAGUCAGACGUGUAAGCCCAUGGCUCAACCAUGGAAUUGCGUUUGAAACUAUUUAGCUUGAGUGCAGGAGAGGAAAGCGGAAUUCCCAGUGUAGCGGUGAAAUGCAUUGAUAUUGGGAAGAACACCGGUGGCGAAGGCGGCUUUCUGGUCUGUUACUGACGCUGAGAUACGAAAGCCAGGGGAGCAAAGGGG